UACAAAGUGAGUAAGUAUCUCAUGCUUGUG
RNAcentral lists this non-coding RNA (30 nucleotides) under Mus musculus (house mouse). The record is from RNAcentral. Lineage: Eukaryota; Metazoa; Chordata; Mammalia; Rodentia; Muridae.